Crocodylus porosus (Australian saltwater crocodile) is the source of this 1801-nucleotide long non-coding RNA. The record is from Ensembl. NCBI's taxonomy places the organism in Eukaryota, Metazoa, Chordata, Crocodylia, Crocodylidae.
AUGAUCUUGGAAGUGUGGGGCAAAGUUGGAGUCAUGUCAUCUUUACAGCUCUGGCAUUCUGGGCUAGUCUAAGGGUUACCAUAAGUUAGGGGAGCCCCAAUGAAACAGGAGAUAGAGAUAGGAAGUAAAAGGACAUUCGGAUGGAUUCAGUACUGUGGGCUCACCAAAGAGAUGAGCUAAUGAUCCUAAUACAGGAAGCAGUUUUUACCUGAUUUGCAGUGGGUGUGGCAUGCUACUUCUUUUCUUCCAGGCUGAUCUGUCAUAAUGGAGCACUCUCCAUAAAUUAGUUUACAAAAUUACUACCACCACUGUUUCCUCUCUCCUAGCCCAUCAAGAUCUAUGUCUGCUAUGGUGUUCAAUGACAGACAGGCAGGUGACUUCUUAGAAAUUCUUUAUCGUUUUCAAGCUUAAAAGAAAAGGAAAGUGGGGAUAGGAAGAAAGACCUGUGAAGUAUGCAUGUAGACAAUCUAUGUAACCAUAUGUUCCCCUUGCCAUUACCCUCAUCUCUUGCACUCAUCACUUCUAUUGAGUGCUAUCCCACCCGUCACAAGUUGCUUUCAAUUAGACUGCAAGCUUCUUAGGGCAGAGGUUGAACGGGCCCUAAUCCUGUUUGAAACCUCCAAGUGCCACCAUAACAACUAAUUAUGAUGACUUCUUUCUUUGCUUAGUCCUUCUCAUUUUCUUCAGGAGUAAUUAGGACCACAUCAGCAUCAGUCUUUUCACCUACAGAUAAGCAUUUUCUUCUGGAUACAAUCAUAUACAUCCAGGGGUGGAUCCAGGUGGGAUGCAGUGGUGCAACUGCACCUCCCUUUGAUUUCUGCUCCACCCAAACUUUAAAACCAACUGCCUGAGAAGGAAGCAGCAUUUCUAUUCAUCAUCACUCAGACAACACAUAGAGGUUCACCUACUCCUUCAUGCAAGUCAGGUUCUACAACACCCUCAUGGAAUUUUCCAUAAGAUUUCUAAUUCACCAGACUGUACCGGAGUCAGCAUUUGGAAACACAGCAUGGCUGGGAGAACCUCCCCAACAGACUCCUCCAGGUUCCCCUAUCACACCUUACCAGCACUGUUCAGACUAGUAAAAACAUUGUCAUCUGAGAAUGGUUAACCUUGGGUUACCAACAAACCAGCCAACAUGUUUAAAGGAGACACAAUUAACACUGAAAUGAUGUUGGCGUAAGCAUUCCACAGAAUACUAUCACUGUACCAUCCUGACAUUCCUCUGGGAAAGGGCUGAUUUGGCUGAUUAUUCAUCACGUUGGUUAAGAACAGGUGGUGAGGACAGAAAGGGUGACAGCAGUAUAAGAGAAUGUAGACACCUACGUGAAACAGGCGUAUGGAACAGUAUCUGUUACAAUAAGUUUCUCACAAGUAGCAAAUUGCUACAUAUUCUUAAAAAAGAAUUCUUGAUUUGGCAGCAGUAGAACAUGGUAUGACUGUUGCAGACAAUGAGUACUAUUUAGCCUCAAGUGUUAUUAUGAGUCAUGAAAGAGGAAGUGCUCAUUCACUCUGCUUUUAUGCCAUUUUUGGGGGGUGCAUUUUACUUUCAAAGCACAGGGAGUUUCUACAAUUGCCUUGAUUACUUUUGGAUGGCGUCUCCAGAGCCCCUGGUUUUCCUACUCAGGAAGUGUUAGUGGGUGGUUUUGUUAACUACAUUGCUAAGCAAGUUCCUCAGGCUGGAGCAUGCAAGCCAAAACUUGGUUGAAUAUCUUCUCAGAAAAGAGAGCCUGAAACUCUUUUAUUAGGGGAAAUAUGUUCAAAGUACUCCAAAAGAAAAAUAAAAUGUUGGAAGCUGGUGGUC